UCACAUAGAUUGACAUUUGAUCCGGGAGGACACACCUUGACGAAGCAAGAGGCUGCUAUCCGAGAUCAAGAAUGCAAAUCUGAGGAUAGAUCUUCUCAAGCCGGAGGAGAUGAUGGACACCAUCCAGCCACAACCACCCCCUAAGCAAAGCCUUGGAUUUGAGGACAAAUCCUUUUCAAGAGGGAGGGGAUGAUGGAGGAAGGCCCAAGCUCACCACACUAUGAAAGCCAAGCUUCCAAGACCAAGACCGUCUAGCCUUCACAAAGAAGCGUCUAGCCUUCCAAAAGGAGCGUCUAGCCUCACAAGGAGCGUCUAGCCUCACAAAGGGAGCGUCUAGCCAUGAUGAGGAGCGUCUAGGCCAAGGCUACAUGAGGAGCAUCUAUGAAGAGUCCUAGACCGUCUAGCUUCACACACACAAGGGCCAAAGCUACGGUUUGGGAGAGAAAAGGCUUUGUUGCAUAAAAGGCCC
This 469-nucleotide long non-coding RNA is filed under the name Phaseolus vulgaris (common bean). RNAcentral describes it as "long non-coding RNA (PVUL_LNC002937)". Lineage: Eukaryota; Viridiplantae; Streptophyta; Magnoliopsida; Fabales; Fabaceae. The record is from RNAcentral.